AGUAUUCAUGUGGAACAUUGGCCUGUAGUUUUCUUAUUUUGAUGUCUCUGUCUGAUUUUGGUAUCAGGGUAAUACUGGCCUCACAGAAUGAAAUGCUUUGAUGUCUUAAAUGGUACAUCCAAACUUAAGUGAAAUAGAGCUGUGAGGACAUUUUGGGGAGAAGUGACCUAGAUAAGCACUGACUGUUGCAUUCAUCUCUCUUCUUGCUGAUUGUGAUGAUUUCCUGUGCCAUAGCCAUUCAAAGUCUGCCAAAAAAGCUAGCAUGUAAUUUUCUUUCUCUACUUCUCUACAUUUGGAGGAUGGAAAUGUAGAUGUUCUUCCAUUGUGCCAGCCUCCUCAUUCUUCUUUCUCCAAUGCCGCAUCUUCCUGCAAACUUCCUGCCACAACUCAAACAACAGGAAAAUAAAUGAUCUGAAAUCCUCCUGAACUGCAGCCUACCUAUCGUGGUCUCUAUGGGUGCAAACUUCCUUCCAGAAGCUUGUUCAGCUGGCUAAAACAGGACAUUUGCCAAUGCAGCCAAAAGUUGGGUCUUAUACUGGCUACCUCCUAUGCAGAGUGAAAAACUUUUCUUUCUCCCACAGCCACAGACAUCGCUCCUCUUCCAGCUCAACAUCUUUCAAAGGGAUGGCUCUCAGUCCCGAAAUGAAAAGAAAAGGUGGCUUGGUGCAAAUCAUUCUCUUUAUCAGCAAAAGAAAUACCAAAGCCUGUGUCCUUCUGACAUAGUGAGCUGUCGAGGUAGUCCAGGGAAAAGAUGACAGUGAAUUGAGUUAUGGGAUGGCAAUGGAGACUGAAAAGAAUCUGUGUUUAUUAUAUGUAUAUAUAUCAUUAAGGUAGAACUAGUGGAUUUUCUCUGGCACUGCACAUGGGAAGCAAGUGAAGGAGAGUGAUCUAGAAUGACGCCACCAUUUUUGCCUGAGAAAUUCAGUACUCAGAGGUGUCUGUCAUUCAGAGAGAUGGAGGAAACAAGAAGAGGAGCAAGUUGGGGGAGAGGGUAAGCAGAAUCAAAAACUGUGUUGAUACAUUAACUUUAGGAUGCAUAGUAGACAUCAGAGUACAGAUGGAGUUUAGGAGCAAAGUUAUAUAGAGAGAUAAAUUUGAGAACCUGUAAUUCUUUUAUUUGUGGCAGAUAAUUAGACAAAUGAUUUCUAAAUAUUCCCAUGACUACUACAGAACAUCAAUAAAUUCCUUAAUAAUACUAGAAGGAGAAAUGUGGUUUAAAUUUUCCCAGGGGUUUUCUAACCUUUCAGCAAUUCUCUUUCUUUUCAGCAAAUGUUUGGUAAUUAUGCUGGAAUAUUGGGGUGGGGGUGCUUUCUUU
Molecule: long non-coding RNA, 1315 nt
Filed under: Homo sapiens (human)
Lineage: Eukaryota; Metazoa; Chordata; Mammalia; Primates; Hominidae
Description: HSALNT0298288
Source: RNAcentral